This 1974-nucleotide long non-coding RNA is filed under the name Zea mays. Its description in RNAcentral is "long non-coding RNA (ZMAY_LNC004010)". The record is from RNAcentral. Lineage: Eukaryota; Viridiplantae; Streptophyta; Magnoliopsida; Poales; Poaceae.
CGCCGUGUCCAUGCCCGGCAUGAUGGACACGGUGCUCAACCUGGGGCUCAACGACGAAGUGGCCGCCGGGCUGGCGGCCAAGAGCGGGGAGCGCUUCGCCUACGACUCCUUCCGCCGCUUCCUCGACAUGUUCGGCAACGUCGUGAGUACCCCCGCCUAGAGAUGGCCAAACGGGCCGGCCCGGCCCGGGCCCGGUGAAGCCCGGCCAAAACCGGGCCGGGCCUGCUGAGCCAGCGGGCUUAAUUUUCUGUCCAAGCCCGGCCCGCAGCGGGCUUAAACGGGCCGGGCCGGCCCGUUUAGCACGAAAAAACGGGCCGAAAAGCGGGCUAAACGGGCCGGUAAGCACGUUUUAGUGUAAAAAAACGGGUUUAACGGGCUUAGAGGUAAACGGGCCGUGCCGGGCUAGCCCGUCGUGCCUAGUUUCCUGUCCAAGCCCGCCCGCUUAUUCUACCGUGCCGGGCUCGGACCAGACCCAAAAAGCGGGCUUCGUGCCGGGCUCACGGGCCUCGUGCUUUUUGUCCAUCUAUACCCCCGCCCGUAGCUAGCUGCUUCGAUUCCGCGCCCUGACUCAGCUCCUCGCUUCCAUUCCCGUCCGCCGGUUGUUGUUACUGCUAGCUUGUCCCACUAGCUAGGUGCAGUAGGUGCCUAGUUUUGCGCGCAUCGCGUCGCGUCGACGACGACCCAUCCUCCACCGCGCUGCCGUGGCCGCAACCAAGGCUGGAUGGAGCUUUUGUCUGUUUGCCAGGCCAGCCGUUGCUUUGGGUUAAAAGUGCAAAAAAAAAUGAUGAAGGUCACGCUACGAACUAAACAGACCAUAUACGUACGGCAUCGGCAUGUAAACUUGGCUUGUCGGACUCGAGAAACGAAAGAACGAUGACUCAAACUGCUCUCAGAUUUUGUUUCAUUGUUUGUGUUUACCAGGUCAUGGACAUCCCCCGCUCACUGUUCGAAGAGAAGCUUGAGCACAUGAAGGAAUCCAAGGGGCUGAAGAACGACACCGACCUCACGGCCUCUGACCUCAAAGAGCUCGUGGGUCAGUACAAGGAGGUCUACCUCUCAGCCAAGGGAGAGCCAUUCCCCUCAGGUACAUACCGGCCCGUCGAUCGAUCGUCCUCAGCUCUACUGAUCGAUGGAGCUAGCGGUAGCUUUCCCUGUGCACCGAAAUCAUGUGCUUGCCUGCCUUGCAGACCCCAAGAAGCAGCUGGAGCUGGCAGUGCUGGCUGUGUUCAACUCGUGGGAGAGCCCCAGGGCCAAGAAGUACAGGAGCAUCAACCAGAUCACUGGCCUCAGGGGCACCGCCGUGAACGUGCAGUGCAUGGUGUUCGGCAACAUGGGGAACACUUCUGGCACCGGCGUGCUCUUCACCAGGAACCCCAACACCGGAGAGAAGAAGCUGUAUGGCGAGUUCCUGGUGAACGCUCAGGUAUGAGUCGGCCUCAGGCUUCCAUUGCGCGCCUGUUCGUGCAUGGAUACACUUACGUACGUUACUUGACGCCAUGCAUGCAACAAUUCGUUUCCUGCUCAGGGUGAGGAUGUGGUUGCCGGAAUAAGAACCCCAGAGGACCUUGACGCCAUGAAGAACCUCAUGCCACAGGCCUACGACGAGCUUGUUGAGAACUGCAACAUCCUGGAGAGCCACUAUAAGGAAAUGCAGGUACAGUUUAAAUUUUCACCUUCUAAUUUAAACACCACACCACCGUCUCUCUCUCUCUCUCUCUCUCUCUGGAUCCUGAUGUUUCUUCUCCAGAUGAUGUGAGCUCAGGCUGAGACUUGGUUUUUCUUUGGCGUGUGUGAUCAUGCAGGAUAUCGAGUUCACUGUCCAGGAAAACAGGCUGUGGAUGUUGCAGUGCAGGACAGGGAAACGUACGGGCAAAAGUGCCGUGAAGAUCGCCGUGGACAUGGUUAACGAGGGCCUUGUUGAGCCCCGCUCAGCGAUCAAGAUGGUAGAGCCAGGCCACCUGGACCAGCUUCUCC